AGAGUUUGAUCCUGGCUCAGAUUGAACGCUGGCGGCGUGCUUAACACAUGCAAGUCGUGCGAGAAAGGGGACUUCGGUCCCUGAGUAGAGCGGCGCACGGGUGAGUAACGCGUGGAUAAUCUCCCCAGAAGUUCGGGAUAACGGCGGGAAACUGCCGCUAAUACCGGAUACGCUCCAAUUUCGGUUGGGGGAAAGGCGGCCUCUGUUUACAAGCUGUCGCUUCUGGAUGAGUCCGCGUCCCAUUAGCUUGUUGGUGGGGUAAUGGCCUACCAAGGCUACGAUGGGUAGCUGGUCUGAGAGGAUGAUCAGCCACACUGGAACUGAAACACGGUCCAGACUCCUACGGGAGGCAGCAGUGGGGAAUAUUGCGCGAUGGGGGAAACCCUGACGCAGCGACGCCGUGUGAGGGAUGAAGGCUUUCGGG
This 424-nucleotide ribosomal RNA is filed under the name uncultured bacterium. RNAcentral's name for it is "bacterial SSU rRNA". It matches the Rfam family "Bacterial small subunit ribosomal RNA", at positions 8 to 422 of the family's 1533-position model. The record is from RNAcentral.